UACGUAGGGUGCAAGCGUUUGUCCGGAAUUAUUGGGCGUAAAGAGCUCGUAGGCGGUUUGUCGCGUCUGCUGUGAAAACCCGAGGCUCAACCUCGGGCCUGCAGUGGGUACGGGCAGACUAGAGUGCGGUAGGGGAGAUUGGAAUUCCUGGUGUAGCGGUGGAAUGCGCAGAUAUCAGGAGGAACACCAAUGGCGAAGGCAGAUCUCUGGGCCGUAACUGACGCUGAGGAGCGAAAGCUAGGGGAGCAAACGGG
Molecule: ribosomal RNA, 254 nt
Filed under: uncultured bacterium
Lineage: Bacteria
Description: partial 16S ribosomal RNA
Rfam family: Bacterial small subunit ribosomal RNA
Source: RNAcentral